GACGAACGCUGGCGGCGUGCUUAACACAUGCAAGUCGAACGGAAAGGCCCUGCUUGCAGGGUGCUCGAGUGGCGAACGGGUGAGUAACACGUGGGUGAUCUGCCCCUUACUUUGGGAUAAGCCUGGGAAACUGGGUCUAAUACUGGAUAGGACCAUGCUGUAGGUGGUGUGGUGGAAAGAUUAGUUUCGGUAAGGGAUGAGCUCGCGGCCUAUCAGCUUGUUGGUGGGGUAAUGGCCUACCAAGGCGUCGACGGGUAGCCGGCCUGAGAGGGUGGACGGCCACAUUGGGACUUGGAUACGGCCCAGACUCCUACGGGAGGCAGCAGUGGGGAAUAUUGCACAAUGGGCGCAAGCCUGAUGCAGCGACGCCGCGUGGGGGAUGACGGCCUUCGGGUUGUAAACUCCUUUCAGCCAUGACGAAGCCCUUGUGGUGACGGUAGUGGUAGAAGAAGCACCGGCUAACUACGUG
RNAcentral lists this ribosomal RNA (469 nucleotides) under uncultured bacterium. RNAcentral's name for it is "partial 16S ribosomal RNA". It matches the Rfam family "Bacterial small subunit ribosomal RNA", at positions 28 to 507 of the family's 1533-position model. The record is from RNAcentral.